Molecule: ribosomal RNA, 220 nt
Filed under: uncultured bacterium
Lineage: Bacteria
Description: partial 16S ribosomal RNA
Rfam family: Bacterial small subunit ribosomal RNA
Source: RNAcentral
GAUCAUGGCUCAGGAUGAACGCUGGCGGCGUGCCUAACACAUGCAAGUCGAGCGAAGUGAUUGGAAUGAGACUUCGGUGGAAUUUUGAUUGACUGAGCGGCGGACGGGUGAGUAACGCGUGGAAAACCUGCCUCAUACAGGGGGAUAACAGUUAGAAAUGACUGCUAAUACCGCAUAAGCGCACAGCACCGCAUGGUGCAGUGUGAAAAACUCCGGUGGU